Dicentrarchus labrax (European seabass) is the source of this 535-nucleotide long non-coding RNA. RefSeq lists it as uncharacterized. The transcript is spliced from 2 exons. NCBI's taxonomy places the organism in Eukaryota, Metazoa, Chordata, Actinopteri, Moronidae. The record is from RefSeq and is a predicted model, not a curated record.
GGUCUUUUCUUCUUUUCCGUGUCCAUGUCUCUCAUCUCUCCUGAGCCAUGGCCGUGGCCCUCCGCCCGUGUGAGGACACCUGACAAGAAGUCAGCUAUCUCAUCCUGCAGAUCGGUGAAGAAAGAAGAUGAAAAAGAUCGGAGGGUGUGACUGACCUGAUGUUGUCGUCUGCUCCUCCCACCACUACCAUGCUGUUGUCGGCCCUCAGCUUCUCUCUGAGCUCCUCCAUUCCUUCUAUGCUACACUGCAGAGCAUUUUGGCCAACCACAAACAACACUGGGGUCUUCAUGUCCAGCAAGGGGUCAUCCACAUCCUGUCAACAGGGAACACAUUAACAUUCACUACAAUUACUGACAUGAAAACAAGAGUUGUUUUCUUAGUAGAAAUGAGGAAACAAUAUAAAUAUUAACAUAUGAAAGUAAUAACGUAUAUCAUUGGAAGAUAAAGAUCUUACCCCUCGUGGCCCGUUGACUGUUAGCAGGGGGAAGCCGAGACACACCACAGCGGUCAGAUACUCCAUAAGGGAUACCUGUAA